This 1057-nucleotide ribosomal RNA is filed under the name Bacillus aerius. RNAcentral's name for it is "bacterial SSU rRNA". It matches the Rfam family "Bacterial small subunit ribosomal RNA", at positions 45 to 1088 of the family's 1533-position model. The record is from RNAcentral. Lineage: Bacteria; Bacillati; Bacillota; Bacilli; Caryophanales; Bacillaceae.
CGCGGACUAUAAUGCAGUCGAGCGGACAGAAGGGAGCUUGCUCCCGGAUGUUAGCGGCGGACGGGUGAGUAACACGUGGGUAACCUGCCUGUAAGACUGGGAUAACUCCGGGAAACCGGAGCUAAUACCGGAUAGUUCCUUGAACCGCAUGGUUCAAGGAUGAAAGACGGUUUCGGCUGUCACUUACAGAUGGACCCGCGGCGCAUUAGCUAGUUGGUGAGGUAACGGCUCACCAAGGCGACGAUGCGUAGCCGACCUGAGAGGGUGAUCGGCCACACUGGGACUGAGACACGGCCCAGACUCCUACGGGAGGCAGCAGUAGGGAAUCUUCCGCAAUGGACGAAAGUCUGACGGAGCAACGCCGCGUGAGUGAUGAAGGUUUUCGGAUCGUAAAGCUCUGUUGUUAGGGAAGAACAAGUGCAAGAGUAACUGCUUGCACCUUGACGGUACCUAACCAGAAAGCCACGGCUAACUACGUGCCAGCAGCCGCGGUAAUACGUAGGUGGCAAGCGUUGUCCGGAAUUAUUGGGCGUAAAGGGCUCGCAGGCGGUUUCUUAAGUCUGAUGUGAAAGCCCCCGGCUCAACCGGGGAGGGUCAUUGGAAACUGGGAAACUUGAGUGCAGAAGAGGAGAGUGGAAUUCCACGUGUAGCGGUGAAAUGCGUAGAGAUGUGGAGGAACACCAGUGGCGAAGGCGACUCUCUGGUCUGUAACUGACGCUGAGGAGCGAAAGCGUGGGGAGCGAACAGGAUUAGAUACCCUGGUAGUCCACGCCGUAAACGAUGAGUGCUAAGUGUUAGGGGGUUUCCGCCCCUUAGUGCUGCAGCUAACGCAUUAAGCACUCCGCCUGGGGAGUACGGUCGCAAGACUGAAACUCAAAGGAAUUGACGGGGGCCCGCACAAGCGGUGGAGCAUGUGGUUUAAUUCGAAGCAACGCGAAGAACCUUACCAGGUCUUGACAUCCUCUGACAACCCUAGAGAUAGGGCUUUCCCUUCGGGGACAGAGUGACAGUGGUGCAUGGUUGUCGUCAGCUCGUGUCGUGAGAUGUUGGUUAGUCC